UAACUAAUGGACACUAGCCUGAAUAACUGGGUGACAAAAUAAUCUGCAAUCAAACCCCUGUGACACAAGUUUACCUAUAUAACAAACCUGCACAUGCAACCCUGAACUUAAAUAAAAGUGAAAAAAAGAGCAUAGUCACAGUCUCUUACAUGAAAUCCAUAUAUUCAGAAGUGUUUCAGGAUAUGGAAAGUUUCUGGUUUAAUACAAAUAAUAUGAUAUAUAUAUACAUAUACAUAUAUUUACAUACACAAACACACACACACACACACAUAUAUUUCACAGCACAGGCAGGAGGACCUACACCAGUGCCACAGUCAAACAUAUUAACAUUUCUUCAAUGAAGUAUGAGUAUUAGUAUCAAGUGAUAUCAAUUAAGAGGUAACUUCAUUUCAGUCCAGUCCAGUUCUGCCUCAAAGGAAUUGAAGCCAGGUCAGAUUUCAUUGCCAAAUGGUUGGUGAGAACUUCUUACUUUUCAGAGUUCUUUUAACUUCAGAAUUGUGGAAUUCAUAUUUUUCUGGGGUAGAGAUGAGAGUGCUGGGUGAUUUAGGCAGGGUCACCCUCUGAUUGUUCCUCUCCAAUGGUCCCUGUGUAGAUGAGAGGAGAAGAUAGUCAUUGAUUCCCUGUUCGUCUCUCACGACCUCUAUUUGGCCACAUCCAACCCUCUAGCAGACUGGAAUGGCAGAGGGAGCACCUUGAACAGCAGCCUCGAUGCUGCUGAGAUGCUAGACAGUUCUGGAGGCUGGGGAGUCCCAGGUGCCAGCAGGUUCAGUUGUCUGGAGAGAGCUGAUUGCUCUGCUUUCAAGAUGGCACCUUAUUGCUACAUGCUCCAAAAUAUAGAAACGCCAAGUCCUCACAGGCCAGGACAAGCAAGCUGAAAGCUGGAUGAAGGCUCUUUUUUUUUUUUUUUUUUUUUUUUUUUUUUGAGACGGAGUCUCGCUCUGUCGCCCAGGCUGGAGUGCAGUGGCGGGAUCUCGGCUCACUGCAAGCUCCGCCUCCCGGGUUCACGCUAUUCUCCUGCCUCAGCCUCCCAAGUAGCUGGGGCUACAGGCGCCCGCCACUACGCCCGGCUAAUUUUUUGUAUUUUUAGUAGAGACGGGGUUUCACCGUUUUUAGCCGGGAUGGUCUCGAUCUCCUGACCUCGUGAUCCGCCCGCCUCGGCCUCCCAAAGUGCUGGGAUUACAGGCGUGAGCCACCGCGCCCGGCCCUGAAGGCUCUUUUAUAAGGGCCUUAAUUCCAUUCACUAGGGAGGAGCCCCCAUGGCCCAAUCACCUCUUAAGGGCCCCACCUCUUAAUCCUAUCACAUUGGCAACACCUGAAUUUUGGAGGCAACACUUUCAAACCACAGCAGUGUCCUCAACUCUGAGACACUCUCUCCACAGCAAAAGGUUUUUUAAGAGAUGGAAACACAGAAGAACACAGCGAACAGGGAGGAGAUAAUAGUAACAAAAAUGUGAAAUCUGAAUCAUAAACCAGUAAAGGGAAAGAUAAACAAACUGACAUAUGCUACAGAUUUUUCAAACAGCUCUGUUCCUGGAAGUGAUAAGAGGAAGAGAGUGGGAAGAAGAACUAUUGGGAAAAACACUAUUUGAGAAAUUAUUUGAGAACCCUCGAUCCUUCCAUGCUUCACAGUGCUAGGAAACUGGCCCUCACCUAUCCUAGAGGAGAUCCAGAGAUGUAAACUCUAAAUUGUGGUCUGCAAUCUUGAGAAUGCCAGGUGCAGGUACUUUGGACCAUUAAAGAAGAAAUUCUGUUUAAUGUUUUAGCUGCAAGGAAGAGCAAGUUAAUAACUCUAAUCUGGUUAAUCUUCACUUGAAACAAUCUAUGAAUUUUUGCUGUGACAAUGUGACUCAAACCACAAAUACUAUUGUGAUUACUUAUCUAUUUGGCUCCUUGCUAAAAUACUUAUGAAGUUUAAUUUAUCUCUUAACUUCAAGUGAGAAAUACCUUUAAUGUAAGUGUAAACUUUGACUUGUAUCAGUUAAUAUGCAAUCUUUGAAGAAACAGAUUUAGGUUUCUUAUCGGGUCAUACAAAUUCCUUCGCCUGAACCAUUCCACCGUUGUCUUUAUACUUAGCAAUAUUCUAUACUUCUCUGCAACAAGACCCACCCCUCCAUGGCAUUUAUUAUUUUUCAAACAUAUUUAUGUGAUUGUCUGACUUCUAGCACCCAUCUAUCUGUAUAUUUUGUUAUGUAUAUAUGUAUCCCUUCUGUCUAGGUUUACUCCCUAAUUAUCCCAUAUGUACUAUUCUUCGUUCCUCUGUCAAAGAGUAAACUGCAGGAACCCAGGAAUCAUGUUUCACAUAUCUUGCUUUUCAUAUCAUGCUGAGCAAAACUCUAAACUCACAAUAUAUCAAUGUUUCACAAAAUAUGUUUAUAAUUCCCUGCCUCAAAUUAACCAAGGGUUUUUAAAAAGCAUAUUAUUAAGUUCUGGUGAGGGAUAGUGGUGAUGGUUGCAUAAUAAUGCAAAUGUGCUUUAUUCAACUGGUUAAAAUGGUAACCUUUGGGUUAAGCAUAUUUUACCACAAUAAAAAAUGAAUUUUAAAGCACAUUAUUAAGC
Molecule: long non-coding RNA, 2556 nt
Filed under: Homo sapiens (human)
Lineage: Eukaryota; Metazoa; Chordata; Mammalia; Primates; Hominidae
Description: HSALNT0251398
Source: RNAcentral